CAGCUGUACGUAACGGUUCGAUCUAAUUGUGAGCGGAAGUGAAAAACAAAACAUAAAUAAGCUCAAAGCUUAAACGAAAUAAUUUAUAUAAAAUACAACAAAAGAAAUAGAUAUACAUCGGACACCUGUAUUUGAAAAUAUUUCGUAGGCAAACGUUAAGUUCAAAAGCGCGAAAGUUAAGACAUUCCUAUCAAAACAAAUUUGAAGUGCUGAUCACUAAAGACACAAAAUGAAUUUAUCCUUUGCUGGCUGCGGAUUUCUUGGGUUAUAUCAUGUCGGCGUUGCUGUCUCCUUCAAGAAGUAUGCCCCGCAUUUACUUCUAGAAAAAAUCGGAGGUGCCUCCGCUGGGUCCCUGGCAGCAUGCUGCCUGCUAUGCGAUUUGCCACUAGGUAGCAUGACUUCCGAUUUCUUCCGCGUGGUGAACGAGGCGCGCCGGCACUCACUUGGGCCUUUCAGUCCGUCGUUUAAUAUACAGACCUGCCUGCUCGAGGGCCUCCAGAAACAUCUGCCCGAUGACGCACAUAAGCGUGUCAGCGGACGUCUGCACAUCUCUCUAACACGGGUCUACGACGGCAAGAAUGUGAUAAUCUCGGAGUUUGCGUCCCGUGAGGAGGUGUUGCAAGCUUUACUUUGUGCGUGCUUCAUUCCCGGCUUUUCUGGAAUUUUGCCACCGCGUUUUCGGGGCGUGCGGUAUAUGGACGGUGCGUUCUCGGACAACUUGCCAAUCUUGGACGAAAACACCAUAACUGUCAGCCCUUUUUGCGGCGAGAGUGACAUUUGUCCACGCGACCAAAGCUCGCAGCUAUUCCACCUUAACUGGGCCAACACAAGCAUCGAGAUAUCGCGGCAGAACGUCAACCGCUUCGUACGCAUUCUGUUCCCGCCGAGAGCCGAGUUCCUCUCAAAGUUCUGCCAGCAGGGAUUCGAUGAUGCACUGCAAUUUCUGCAUCGCAAUAACCUAAUUAAUUGCCGACGCUGUAUAGCUGUUCAGUCCACAUUUGUAGUUUCUGAAACAGUUGCGACAUCGCAGGAGAUGGAAUCAGAGUGCCGCGAAUGCAAGAAGCAUAGGAAGGAUGCAUUGAGCUCAAACAUGCCGGAAACCGUGUUGGACGUUAUACAAGACUAUUUGGAGCAGGCUAACAAGGGCCUGGCCAAUUGGAUCUUCAAGCAUCGCGGCAUUAAAUUGCUUUCGCUGCCGGCUACAGUACCCAUGGACUUCUUUCUGGCCACAGUAUCGAAAAUCAGCACCUUAACGCCAAAACUGACUAAGCAAAUGCGUCAAAUAGUUGAAGAGUUUAUUGUUCAGCUAAAUACUGCCAUGACAGUUCGUUUUCUCAACAAGUUUUCGCUUUACGAUCAGCCACACUUUGAUGCUACCGGCCUUCUUCACUCCAACCAUUUGUAUAAUCCACAUGUUUCAAUUCUCGUCGAUAAAUGUGAUACUACACCUUUAAAUAGCGAUGUCGGACAUGUCAUUGAGAUGACUGCGCAUAACGACGCGCUAUAUGCGUACUAUUACACAGAUAAUAAUACCAACAAUAUAAAAGUAACCGAAAUAUUCGAUUUUGAUGACAUGACAAAGCAUGAACUCAAUACCGAUUUGCAAGUUUAUAAUGGGUCAGUCGACGAUCAUGAAGUUGCGCAUCAGAAGUGUUUUAAUCCAGAAGUCAGUGAAUGGAACGGCAUUGAAUCGGUUCAAAUUAUGCCAACGAAACCUGAAUUACACGACGUCGCCUUCUAAAUACCAUCUUGACUGCACAUUGUAACAAUUCCCAAACCACUAAAUUAUUAACAUUUGAGUAUUUAAGACUAUUUUAUAGAUGAACAUACGCCGAAUACUAGCCCCUUGGCGACGCGUAUCGCGUAACCGUAGUCAGUUUUCCUGAGGCUGAACAAAGUUUAACCGAUUUGUACAUAAAUAUAUGUUAAAUACGCAAAAUUGUAUAUGCUUCAGUUAUAGUCCUUAUAUAAUUUGUAAUGCAACGAACCCAAAGUGGCUUGUAGCCAAGCAUUUGUGUGUAAAAACCUGAGUACCUAAUUAACUAAUAUUCAAUAUCCCAAAUGUACAGUAUGAUCUACUUUUAAGUAACAAAAAAAUGUAUAAUGAUAAAAAUAAGUUAAUGAAUUAAGUUAAGGUGGUAUGUAAUAAAAGGAAACAAAAUAAAAACAAUACAAAAGUUAUUCAAAGUCAAAGACUAAAAA
This is an RNA transcript of Drosophila montana, 2202 nucleotides long. It is a transcript of the gene named brummer, with no coding region annotated. The transcript is spliced from 8 exons. The record is from RefSeq and is a predicted model, not a curated record. Lineage: Eukaryota; Metazoa; Arthropoda; Insecta; Diptera; Drosophilidae.